UAAAGAAACAAGAGUGCACACGCUGAAAUGUCUCGCCUUCUAUACUAAUCAUUGAUAUUAUGUUGAUAGUCCUGAGUAUAAAGCUAAGCUUUAUUACAACUGUCACAUAAACUUAACAUAAACCAAGAUAACUCAACAAAGACCAAUGAACCUUGAAAAUGAGGUCAAAGUCAGAUGAACCAUUCCAGGCAGACAUGUACAGCUAACAAUGCUUCUAUACAACAUAUAUGUUGACCAUUACUUAUAGUUUAAGAAAAUAGACCAAAACACAAAAACUGAACACUGUGCAAUGAACUGUGAAAAUGAGGUCACGGUCAAAUAAAACCUUCGCGACUGACAUAAAGAUCAUAAAAUAUUUCCAUACACCAAAUAUAGUUGACCGAUGGCAUAUAGUAUUAGGUAAAAAGACCAAAACUCACAAACUUAAAUUUGACCACUGAACCAUGAAAAUGAGGUCAAGGUCACAUGACAUCUGCCCGCUAGACAUGUACACCUUACAAUCAUUCCAUACAACAAAUAUAGUAGACCUAUUGCAUAUAGUAUGAGAAAAACACACCAAAACACAAAAAUUUAACUAUAACCACUGAACCAUGAAAAUGAGGUCAAGGUCAGAUGACAACCAAUUGGACAUGUACACCUUACAGUCCUUCCAUACACUGAAUAUACUAGCCCUAUUGCUUAUAGUAUCUGAGAUAUGGACUUGACCACCAAACUUAACCUUGUUCACUGAUCCAUGAAAUGAGGUCAAGGUCAAGUGAAAACUGUCUGACAGACAUGAGGACCUUGCCAAGUACGCACAUACAAAUAUAGUUAUCCUUUACUUAUAAUUAGAGAAGAUUCAACAUUACAAAAAAUUUGAACUUUUUUUUCAAUAGUCACUGAACCAUGAAAAUGAGGUCAAGGUUUGGACAUGUGACUGACGGAAACUUCGUAAUAUGAGCAUCUAUAUACAAGUAUGAAGCAUCCAGGUCUUCCACCUUUCUAAAAUAUAAAGCUUUUAAGAAGUGAGCUAACACCGCCGCCGCCGGAUCACUAUCCCUAUGUCGAGCUUUCUGCAACAAAAGUUGCAGGCUCGACAAAAAGCCAUGAAUUUAUGGAUACCACAGAUGUCAGUAGAUAUAUAGCUAAAAGGGACAAAAAAGUUACAAGGACAAUAUGCUACUUGCUAAAAUGGCUACAUUUAAAGCUAUCUGUUUUCCAUACAUUUUAUAAAAAACAAUAUGCAACUAGAGAUCAUAUAAAGUUUAGUUGGUUUUAAUUAUUGAUUCAAGGGAAGAGGAUUGAGACAAAAACAACACAAGCGAUACCUUGCUGUGUUAGCAUAAAGCAGAUGACUGUACGACUACAAUUUUCUAGCUCAUAAUAUUGAAAAUGCUUCCAACUCUUUUAAUAAUAGUAACAUUACUCUAUUCUUAUUAUACAUAUUUUGAAAACAAUCCUCUUAAAAAAGGAAAAUAAAAGUAAGCAAUCACAUUUCUAUUUUCAAGAUUAAAUUUAACAGUAAAAUCACCCAUGUUUACAUGAUUGUUCAAAUAACAGAACAUUUAGUGGCAAUAAAGUGCAUUAUGAUGUCUAAUAAUGAUAGGUGACCUAUAGACAUUCAACAUUAAGAAAAAGACUAAAUGAAUUAUAACAGUAUAUAUCAUCUUAAAACUAUUUUCAAUGUAACAUGAUGAUAAAAACAAUUUCAUAAUUAACAAUACUUUUUGUUAUAACGAGAAACAAUUUUCCAUAUACAGGUAAGCCUCUGUACAUAGAAAUCUCUAACAACAUAAGCCUCAUGAUCUGUACAUAGCAAUUUCUAACAAUUUCCCUAAUCAAGAUAAAGUCUUUCAAAAAUUGUGUGUACCUAAGAAACAACAUUCUUUGUUCAUAUGUUUCUGAUACAAAUUAACUGCCUAAAUGUCGUAUUUAAAAAUUUAGCAACAAAAGUAUUAAAGACGUGCUUAUGAAUCAAAAUACUGCUUACAAUGUUAAGCAUACAUACAAUGUUUCAAUUAACUAUUUAAUUAUAAUAAAAAAAAAGCUUGGAUUCAUUUAAUAUUAAUACCAGUAUACAUGUACAAUAAUAAACAUCCUCAACAUAUAACUGAAUUUAUCCAUGUCAGCAUAUCUUCUACCGAGUAUAAAGCUUUCUACAUCUACUUAAAAGACAAAAUGUAUACUGUAAACCGGGAAAUUUUCACGCCGUCUUUAUUUCGCGAUUUAUUAACGCAAUCUAAAUUCGCGCCGUUUUGAAUUUGCGAUUACCCUGUGACCUUUAAUGAAUAGAGUUUCCCCAGAAAUUUUUGAGGACGUUUUAUUUUCGUGUUCGACUCAUUACCGCGAAAAUAGCGAAAAUAAAACUUUCCCCGUUUACAGUACAGAUCAGUACACAGUUCAUCUAUCUAUGUGGGAUUUGAUGAAACUCUUAUCAAGUUAUCAUAGAAACAUGACAACAAGAGUGCACACGCUGAAAUGUCUCGCCUUCUAUACUAAUCAUUGAUAUUAUGUUGAUAGUCCUAAGUAUAAAGCUAAGCUUUAUAACAACUGUACCAUAAACUUAACAUUAACCAAGAUAACUCAACAAAGACCAAUGAACCUUGAAAAUGAGGUCAAGGUCAGAUGAACCAUGCCAGGCAGACAUGUACAGCUAGCAAUGCUUCUAUACAACAUAUAUAGUUGACC
This 2667-nucleotide long non-coding RNA is filed under the name Mytilus galloprovincialis (Mediterranean mussel). Lineage: Eukaryota; Metazoa; Mollusca; Bivalvia; Mytilida; Mytilidae. The record is from RNAcentral.